RNAcentral lists this long non-coding RNA (203 nucleotides) under Elaeis guineensis (African oil palm). RNAcentral's name for it is "long non-coding RNA (EGUI_LNC014247)". The record is from RNAcentral. Lineage: Eukaryota; Viridiplantae; Streptophyta; Magnoliopsida; Arecales; Arecaceae.
AUGGCUGAAAGAGUCCAAUUAGAUUGUGACUCUGGUGAAGAGUCCUACUUGGACUAGGACUCUGUGGGAGAGUCCCAUUGAAACUGAAAUUCUACUAUUCAUAAAAAAUUAAUUAGUAAUUAGAUUAUUAAUUAACUCAAUUUUAUUGAAUAAAGAGCUUUGGAACAAUUCUAACUGAAUUAGAUUCAGUUCGACUUAGAUUG